GAUGAACGCUGGCGGCGUGCCUAAUACAUGCAAGUCGAGCGAACGGACGAGAAGCUUGCUUCUCUGAUGUUAGCGGCGGACGGGUGAGUAACACGUGGAUAACCUACCUAUAAGACUGGGAUAACUUCGGGAAACCGGAGCUAAUACCAGAUAAUAUUUUGAACCGCAUGGUUCAAAAGUGAAAGACGGUCUUGCUGUCACUUAUAGAUGGAUCCGCGCUGCAUUAGCUAGUUGGUAAGGUAACGGCUUACCAAGGCAACGAUGCAUAGCCGACCUGAGAGGGUGAUCGGCCACACUGGAACUGAGACACGGUCCAGACUCCUACGGGAGGCAGCAGUAGGGAAUCUUCCGCAAUGGGCGAAAGCCUGACGGAGCAACGCCGCGUGAGUGAUGAAGGUCUUCGGAUCGUAAAACUCUGUUAUUAGGGAAGAACAUAUGUGUAAGUAACUGUGCACAUCUUGACGGUACCUAAUCAGAAAGCCACGGCUAACUACGUG
This 497-nucleotide ribosomal RNA is filed under the name uncultured bacterium. RNAcentral's name for it is "partial 16S ribosomal RNA". It matches the Rfam family "Bacterial small subunit ribosomal RNA", at positions 28 to 507 of the family's 1533-position model. The record is from RNAcentral.